Molecule: ribosomal RNA, 497 nt
Filed under: uncultured bacterium
Lineage: Bacteria
Description: partial 16S ribosomal RNA
Rfam family: Bacterial small subunit ribosomal RNA
Source: RNAcentral
GAUGAACGCUGGCGGCGUGCCUAAUACAUGCAAGUCGAGCGAACAGAUGAGGAGCUUGCUCCUCUGACGUUAGCGGCGGACGGGUGAGUAACACGUGGAUAACCUACCUAUAAGACUGGGAUAACUUCGGGAAACCGGAGCUAAUACCGGAUAAUAUAUUGAACCGCAUGGUUCAAUAGUGAAAGACGGUUUUGCUGUCACUUAUAGAUGGAUCCGCGCCGCAUUAGCUAGUUGGUAAGGUAACGGCUUACCAAGGCGACGAUGCGUAGCCGACCUGAGAGGGUGAUCGGCCACACGGGAACUGAGACACGGUCCAGACUCCUACGGGAGGCAGCAGUAGGGAAUCUUCCGCAAAGGGCGAAAGCUUGACGGAGCAACGCCGCGUGAGUGAUGAAGGUCUUCGGAUCGUAAAACUCUGUUAUUAGGGAAGAACAAAUGUGUAAGUAACUAUGCACGUCUUGACGGUACCUAAUCAGAAAGCCACGGCUAACUACGUG